AAGACUCCAAGGUUGUGGCUGUUUUCCUGUUUACCAGGAUGGAAUUUUAAAAAAUCUUUUAGGUCAACUUGCUUUUCUCUUACACCCAAAAGUUGAAAAAAAAUUUUUUUCAAGCAGUGCUUGUGAAUUUUAAAUUUUAAAAACUGCCCUCUUAAAGAAUUCCCGCUGUGUUUUGUGUUCGCAUAUUUGAAUUUGCCAAUGAAGGUCGAAGGCAUUCUUUGUAAUUUAUCAUAGACUUUGCAAAAGAACAAUCUUUGGUGAAUACUAAGACGUUACAGAAAUAGACCUUUCGGUCACUGGCUGGCUAAAAGGGAAAAGCCAAAGGUUUUUCCAAGAGCAAACAAAAGGAGGUGAGGCUUCUAGGCUCUGGCCACUGGAAGAAUGUGUCUCGGAGGUGUAACCGGAAGUUUGGCGGGGGGGGGGUGUGAGCGUCUGGGGGGAGUCGAUGAGCAGGCUCCUCAGUUACACAUCGGUGUCUGACCCAAGGCUUUCCCUGGGGACGGAUUCCUGUGGCAGGAGAGUGUGUAGGGGCAGCCAGCUUCGUGCGUUCUCCGUGAGAAACCGUAUGUGUCAUCCCCGCGCUGGUGUGGGUCCCUGGGCCUGGCUUUCCGUGUUGCCAGGUAACCCAGUGUGUCCGGGUGUGUCCCCUGGGUGUGUCCCCUUGACGCACUCUCUCCGGCUAAAGCCAAGGCACACAGCCUGCGCGGGGGCGUCUGGGCUGUGACCAUCCCCGCGUGCAUCGGGUCCACGACCGCCCCUGUCCUCUGGUCUCGGUGAAUAAAAGCCCAAAAGCCCCAGCGGUGCCUGGCUGGGUUCUCCCAAGCUGCUGCCUCCCGAGGUGGGGUCUGAAACUGGAAGUUUCCGUUUGGCCGUGAGGGUACAGACCCCUCGGUGCCUGAGUGGCAGGCUGCUUAAGGCCCUAGCAGGACUUUGCAAGUGGCUGCAGGUUUGGAGAGCGGCCUGACUGCUCCAGACACUUCUCCCCAUCUUCCCAGGAAUCUUUUGAAGUCGAUAUUUGGAACCAGCCCAAAGUGUCUCGGUAGGGAGCAGAGCAGGGAGCCCUCCGGGCAAAAAUGAAAUGUAGCAGGGCAGGCAUGAGUGCCUGAAACUGGCUCUAAAGGAAUUUUUCGGGGGGGGGGGAGGUACUGAAAAUAUUUUGCACAAUGAAAGCAACAACUUCGGAGUAGAGAACUUCCUAAGGCGAUUCCUUUCGAGUUCUGGUCUACGCUGCUAUUGGAGAAACCCAUCUUAACACUGCAAAGCUCCGGCCUCACCCUGUAGCCGUAGCACCGGCGGGUUUCCCAGAGCACCGCUGCUGCCCGGGCAGUGAGUGUGUAGUAAGCGCUCCUCCCGGAGGCGGGUCCUAAGAUCUGUUCGGUGGCGCAGUGGAACUGUGCGGCGGAGAGGAACGGAAGAAGGAUCAAAGGCAGGAAAAUCCACCCCUCUAAACUCGCCUUUCGGAUCCCAGGGCCCCUGUGGCCGCAUCUGGGUCGGGUUCACCGGCAGCCGAGCACAGGCCUGAGUGCAACCCUGGGGAACGUGCCUCAGGGGCAGCACCGCAGUUCCUAGGGUUCCCCCUU
Long non-coding RNA from Sus scrofa (pig), 1580 nucleotides. RefSeq lists it as uncharacterized. NCBI's taxonomy places the organism in Eukaryota, Metazoa, Chordata, Mammalia, Artiodactyla, Suidae. The record is from RefSeq and is a predicted model, not a curated record.